GGUGUUAAUUGCUAUGAGGUUCCACCUGUUCCCAUUCCGAACACAGUAGUUAAGCUCAUAUACGUCGAAGAUACUUGGCUGGUGACGGCCCGGGAAAAUAGAUAAAUGCC
This 110-nucleotide ribosomal RNA is filed under the name human gut metagenome. The record is from RNAcentral.